This 162-nucleotide unclassified non-coding RNA is filed under the name uncultured Tremellales. RNAcentral describes it as "sequence contains ITS2". Lineage: Eukaryota; Fungi; Basidiomycota; Tremellomycetes; Tremellales. RNAcentral also lists the same sequence under 1 other name. The record is from RNAcentral.
AACCUCACACUCAAGAGAUUUUUUCUCUUGAGACGUGGAUUUGGGUGUUGCAAUCUGCUCACCUUAAAUGACUUAGUGGUACGAACCCGUAGCCUGAUGUAAUAAGUUUCAUCUGGUCAAGGAGAAGACUGCUUCGAAUCGCCUUCACUGGCACUAUUUAAG